GAAUAAAGCGCUGGCCUGGACGCGCCGGUGACGGUGACGUGGGGACAGGUCUGUCACCCCGAGGGGGACACGGGCGAUGGGGGAAAGCAGGACACCCCCCACCACGACCCCUGCUGUCACCCCGUCCCCUGCCCUGAGAGGAGCCACAUGCUGCCCCCCCCCCCAAAAGAAGCUGUCACGGGGGACGGGGACGGGACCAGGACACAAUUUAUUGUCUCAAGGGAGGGACAACGGUUGGAGAGUGACGCCGCAGGGCCCUGGGACGUGCAGGGGACAGGGGACGCCGGACACCGCAGCGCCUUGGGGACAGCAGAGACACGGGUGGGUGUCACCACGGGGCCCUGAGGACAGCAGGGACAUGGCUGGGGGACACCACAGGGCCCUGGGGACAGCAGAGAUGUGGGGGACCGUCCACCUGGGAAGGUCUUGGGGACGGCAGCGACCCGGGUGGGUGUCACCGCAGGGCCCUGGGGAUGCAGGGGACAGAUCCCCCGAAGCCCUGGGGACGGCAGCGGGGAGGGGGACCGUCCCCCUCGCCCUGGGGACAGCGGGGACUCACACGGCGACGGGCUCCUGGACGUGGUUCUGGCGCUUCACCACGAAGAGCUUCUGCCCGGAGACGGUGACGAGGAGGGAGUGUUCCCCGAACACCACUGCGGGGACAGGGUGAGCGCGGGGCCACCGAGGCCACCACCGUCGCCCCGGGGACACCACCCUCCUGGAGGCAGGGCGAGUGCAGGGCCACCGGGGUCGUCACCAUCACCCUGGGGACAGGGUGAGUGUGGGGCCACCAGGGUCAUCACCAUCACCCUGGGGACACUGGGGCCACCACUCCCCUGGGGACAGGGUGGAUGUGGGGCCACUGAGGCCACCACCAUCACCCUGAGGACACUGGGGCCACCACUCCCCUGAGGACAGGGUGAGCACGGGGCCACCAGGGCCACCACCACCCCAGGUACAUGGUGAGUGCGGGGCCACCACCACCACCCUGGUGGACAAGGUGAGCGUGGAGGGCCACCACCACGCCAGGGUCCUUGAGGCCGCUGCCACCACGGGGCCAGCGCAGGGGCCAUGGCCGCCCUGGGGACAAGCGGGUGACAGC
This 1102-nucleotide long non-coding RNA is filed under the name Apteryx haastii (Great spotted kiwi). RNAcentral's name for it is "lncRNA (ENSAHAG00000008196.1)". Lineage: Eukaryota; Metazoa; Chordata; Aves; Apterygiformes; Apterygidae. The record is from RNAcentral.